Small nucleolar RNA from Dioscorea cayenensis subsp. rotundata (Guinea yam), 107 nucleotides. NCBI's taxonomy places the organism in Eukaryota, Viridiplantae, Streptophyta, Magnoliopsida, Dioscoreales, Dioscoreaceae. The record is from RefSeq and is a predicted model, not a curated record.
AACCCAUGUUGAGAACAUUUCCACGGAAUUCCUUGAACCCAUCCCAUGUCUCAAAAAGAGACUCCAAUUAUAUUUGCACAAAAGAGGAUAUUUUUAUUCCUAAGCUU